Molecule: ribosomal RNA, 254 nt
Filed under: Klebsiella pneumoniae
Lineage: Bacteria; Pseudomonadati; Pseudomonadota; Gammaproteobacteria; Enterobacterales; Enterobacteriaceae
Also listed under: 2 other names
Description: partial 16S ribosomal RNA
Rfam family: Bacterial small subunit ribosomal RNA
Source: RNAcentral
GCAGAGAUGCUUUGGUGCCUUCGGGAACUGUGAGACAGGUGCUGCAUGGCUGUCGUCAGCUCGUGUUGUGAAAUGUUGGGUUAAGUCCCGCAACGAGCGCAACCCUUAUCCUUUGUUGCCAGCGGUUCGGCCGGGAACUCAAAGGAGACUGCCAGUGAUAAACUGGAGGAAGGUGGGGAUGACGUCAAGUCAUCAUGGCCCUUACGACCAGGGCUACACACGUGCUACAAUGGCAUAUACAAAGAGAAGCGACC